UACGUAGGGUGCGAGCGUUAAUCGGAAUUACUGGGCGUAAAGCGUGCGCAGGCGGUUUUGUAAGCCGGAUGUGAAAUCCCCGGGCUUAACCUGGGAAUGGCAUUUGGGACUGCAAGGCUGGAGUGCGGCAGAGGAGACUGGAAUUCCUGGUGUAGCAGUGAAAUGCGUAGAUAUCAGGAGGAAUACCGAUGGCGAAGGCAGGUCUCUGGGCUGACACUGACGCUCAUGCACGAAAGCGUGGGGAGCAAACAGG
Molecule: ribosomal RNA, 253 nt
Filed under: uncultured bacterium
Lineage: Bacteria
Description: partial 16S ribosomal RNA
Rfam family: Bacterial small subunit ribosomal RNA
Source: RNAcentral